The sequence is a small nuclear RNA, 158 nucleotides long. Its record names the gene U1. It matches the Rfam family "U1 spliceosomal RNA". From Rfam's summary of the family: U1 is a small nuclear RNA (snRNA) component of the spliceosome (involved in pre-mRNA splicing). The record is from Ensembl.
ACACUUACCUGACAGGGGAGUUACCAUGAUCAUGAAAGAGUUUUUCCCAGGGCGAGACUUAGCCAUGGAACUCCAGAUGUGCUGACCCUUGUAAUUACCCCAAAUGUGGGAAACUCAUAAUUUGUGGUAGUGGGGGAAUGUGUUCAAACUCUCCUCUG